UCCGCUUUACAGCGGCAGUUUGUUCCGAGUCCCCGACUUUACUCGCUGGUAACAGAACAUGAGGGUUGCGCUCGUUGCGGGACUUAACCCAACAUUUCACAACACGAGCUGACGACAGCCAUGCACCACCUGUGCACCACCCUCGAAGGCGACUAUGUUUCCAUAGCGUGCAGGUGCAUGUCAAGCCCUGGUAAGGUUCUUCGCGUUGCAUCGAAUUAAGCCACAUGCUCCACCGCUUGUGCGGGCCCCCGCCAAUUCCUUUGAGUUUUAGCCUUGCGGCCGUACUCCCCAGGCGGGGCACUUAAUGCGUUAGCUACGGCGCGGAAAACGUGGAAUGUCCCCCACACCUAGUGCCCAACGUUUACGGCAUGGACUAC
This 377-nucleotide unclassified non-coding RNA is filed under the name uncultured bacterium. Its description in RNAcentral is "contains 16S-23S intergenic spacer region". The record is from RNAcentral.